The sequence is a small nuclear RNA, 112 nucleotides long. Its record names the gene U2. It matches the Rfam family "U2 spliceosomal RNA". Rfam says of the family: U2 is a small nuclear RNA (snRNA) component of the spliceosome (involved in pre-mRNA splicing). Complementary binding between U2 snRNA (in an area lying towards the 5' end but 3' to hairpin I) and the branchpoint sequence (BPS) of the intron results the bulging out of an unpaired adenosine, on the BPS, which initiates a nucleophilic attack at the intronic 5' splice site, thus starting the first of two transesterification reactions that mediate splicing. The record is from Ensembl.
AUCGCUUCUCGGCCUUUUGGCUAAGAUCAAGUGUAGUAAAUAUAGCUUCAAAACACAUUUACUAAAACUUGAACAAAACACGAGAUGACAGCCCUUCUUUAUCUCACUUAAU